GUCACGACCCGAAUCCCGGGUCCAUGACCGGCAACGCAGGAGCGGUGGCGGAAGGACACCCCUCCCGCGCUAAGCCUCAUAACGGACAUAUCAAAAGAAUAAUUUAUUCAAAAAUACGCAGCAUUUCAUAAUCUUCAGAAAUAUUAUAUCCUUCAAAACUGAUGAAACCAGAAGAUAGUUUAAAACUCCUCAUCAGUAAUUAAAACAAAAACAAUAAUCCAUAAUACUCAUUACAUUGUCAAAAAUCCAAACUUAAUCAAAACAAAGUAAUAGUGGAGCGCCUAAGACAUCGAAUCAAACAGCCUUGAAAGAUAAGCAAGGCAUACCGACUCAAAACUGAAGAAGCAGGAACACUCAACAAGGUUCACCUGCUAUCAGAAACUAAGAACCUGAAAUAAUAUUAAGAAUGAGGGGUGAGUUCAACCAACUCAGUGAGGGAAUAAUAAUUAAUAUACAUUUUAGAUAUUCUUGAUAUUUAUAGUUCGCAAGAUCAUUUAUCUUGAUAUACAUAUACAUAUACAUACUAAACUUAUCAUAUACAUAUCAUAUACAUACUAAACGUAUCAUCAUAACGUAGUGGACUAUAUGUCAGAGAUCAGAUGACACCCGAAGGUGACCAGACCAGAUGACACCCGAAGGUGACCACUGUGGGAUGAUCAGUCGCCACAGGCUGAUGCCUCUCUCACCAGCUAGGUAUACAUACAGAAUACUAUGUGCACAUAGGCUAACUACUCUCCGUUAGCAUGGAGUUACUGACAAGUCCCAUAUCAAGGCAUAAUAGAUAUUCACAUAAUCAUCAAAGAAACGUAUAUCAUAUCAAAUAGAAUUUACUUUGACAGAUUGCGAGUGCAAAUUCAAGAAUAAAUGAGUACUCGGAAAAUAAGCAACAUAUAUAAUUAUUCAAGAAAUUAACGAGUUGUACUCAUUGUAUAAUCAACAUACAUAUUUACUUAUCAUAUAUGCAUAUUAAAGAUUAUUCCACUCACCCGGAAAAUAUAGAACUAAAGGAAUGUCAGACGAAAGACCCGAAAAUCCUAUUGAGGAUUGUUAGGAGAACCUACAACAAUAUGAAAAUAUACUCAAAAGCAACUCAACAAGAGAUCCCAAUGCAUAAAAUAAAACCAGGUUUAUUCUCCUAAGUUUAUGGACUAAAACGACAAUUUUCCAAAACAGGGACCAAAACGUAAUUUUACCAAAAUUGGACCAAUCUGGAAAAUACAUAACCAUACUGAAUUUUCACCCAUAAACCAUCCUUAAUUCUGUCUAGAACGAACCAGGGACCGAUCUGAAAUUUUCAUAAAAUUCAGGGACUAAAAUGUAAAUUCCCGAAAUUGAGGGACCAAACUGAAAAUAUUCAAAAUCAAUUAUCAAACUGCGAUUCAUCAUCCUUAACCUCAUAAUAACACUGUCCAGAAUCUCAAAUACAAUUAGGGGUCAAAUUAUAAUUUUCCCAAAGUUUAGGGACUAAACUGAAAUUUCACAAAUUGAGGGACCAAAUUGAAUUUUCGUUAUCUUCAACCUCAAACCCAGAAUUUUACAGAUUACCUACUGUCAUCUCCUGAUUUCUAACACAAUUUCAAAAAUCAUAACUCAAAAUCAUCAUCUUUACCCUCAAUCUCUCACAAUCAACUAAUUAACCAAUUACCCACAACAAUCAACCCAUAACCUUCCAAUUAAUUCAUCAAUCAAACUCAAAACACAAUAUUCAAAACCCUAACAUUUAUCAAAACAGAAAUUAAGGCUUAAAGAACACACAUUUAUACAUAAUCUUACCUUUAAACUUAUUUCCUCCAACUCCUUUCCUUUUUCCCUUAUUUUCCCCUCUUUUCUCUUCUUCUUCUUUCUCCCUUCUCUCUCACGGUUUGCUCUCUCAAAUAUUCAGAUAUCUUUUUUUUUUUUUUCUCUUUAUACUUAUCAUCUCUUUAUACAAUUACUCCAAUACCCUUCAUUUAAUUAUACCAAUUUUUAGCCUUCAAGGGCUUUAUUGCCUUUUACCUACUCAUUAAAUUUCAAAACAUCACAAUCUCCCCACCUUAUAAAAGUUUCGUCCUCGAAACUUAAACUUUAAGAAAAAGUCUUACCAUCAAGUUCAAACAAGAAUGGAUACUUGUUGAGCAUUUCCUCCUCAAGCUCCCAGGUCGCUUCUUCACGUGGGUGUCCGCUCCACACAACCUUAACUGAUGUGAUAUCUUUCGACCGAAGUUUUCUAACUUGUCGAUCCACUAUUUUUAUUGGUUGAACUUCAUAUGUCAUAUCUUUCCUCAGCUCAAUCGGUUGAACUUCUAGCACAUGAGAUGGAUCAGACAAAUACUUCCUCAACAUCGAAACAUGGAACACCGGAUGUAUAGAGGAGAGAUUAGGUGGCAAGGCAAGCCGAUAUGCCACUACCCCUACUCUUUCCAAGAUCUCAAAGGGCCCUAUAAACUUAGGACUCAACUUUCCUUUCUUCCCAAACCUGAAUAUCCCUUUAGUCGGGGAGACUUUUAGGAACACGUUGUCACCCACUGAAAAUUCUAGAUUACGCCUUCUCUUAUCUGCAUAAUUCUUUUGCCUACUCUGAGCUGUUAGAAGCUUAUCUCGGAUCACCUUAAUCUUAUCCGAAGUAAUCUGUAUUAACUCGGGACCCAUUAAUCUCCUCUCACCAACCUCAUACCAACAUACAGGUGAUCUACACUUCCGGCCAUACAAGGCCUCAUAUGGGGCCAUAUCAAUGCUCGCUUGAUAACUAUUAUUAUAUGCAAACUCCACCAAAGAUAAGUACUUGCUCCAUCCGACACCAAAGUCAAUCACACAAGCUCUUAACAUAUCCUCCAAAAUUUGUAUAGUCCUCUCAGAUUGUCCAUCUGUCUGAGGAUGAAAGGCAAUACUUAACUGAAUGUUAGUCCCCAAAGCUUCCUGAAACUUCACCCAAAACCGAGAAGUGAAUUGUGGACCUCUGUCGGACACAAUUGAGAUCGGUACACCAUGCAACCUUACGAUCUCGUUAACAUAGAUUUCUGCCAGUUUUGCAAACCCAUAUGUCACCUUUACUGGCAAGAAAUGAGCUGACUUGGUUAAACGAUCAACUAUUACCCAAACCAAAUCAUAACCCUCUUGACUCCGAGGCAAACCUGACACAAAAUCCAUAGUGAUCCUCUCCCAUUUCCAUUCAGGAAUUAACAAUGGCUGCAAAAGCCCUGGUGGUUUCUGAUGCUCACCUUUAACCUUCUGACAGGUCAAGCAUCGAGAUACAAAUUCAGCAAUGUCCCUCUUCAUACCAUUCCACCAAUAACACUCUUUCAAGUCUCUAUACAUCUUGUUAGAACCAGGAUGUAUAGUAUAGGCAGUUUGAUGUGCUUCCGUCAUCACAUCUCUUUUCAAAUCAUCCACCUCAGACACACAUAACCUGGAACCAAAUCUCAACACACCAUCUUCAUGGAUAACAAAACCCGGAGCUCUCCCUAACUCCAACUCAUCUCGAAUCUUGCAAAGUCGCUCAUCCUUCAUUUGAGCUCCUUUAAUCCGGUCUACCAAGUCUGACUUAGCCUGGAAGUGAGCCAACAAUGCUCCCGAUUCACAAAUCUCAAAACUGACCCUCUCAUCCAACAAUCCGUGUAACUCUUUAAUCAAGGGUCUCCUCACCUCCUGAAUAUGAGCCAAACUACCCAUAGAUUUUCUGCUUAAGGCAUCGGCAACAACAUUUGCCUUGCCCGGGUGAUACUGAAUCGUGCAAUCAUAAUCACUUAAUAGUUCCAUCCACAUUCUUUGUCUCAAAUUCAGAUCCUUCUGCUGGAAGAUAUAUUGAAGACUCUUAUGAUCUGAAAAUAUCUCACAUGUCUCCCCAUACAAGUAGUGUCUCCAAAUCUUAAGGGCAAACACUACCGCAGCCAUCUCCAAAUCAUGUGUGGGGUAAUUUUGCUCGUGCUUCUUCAACUUUCUCGAGGCAUAAGCAAUCACAUUACCAUUCUGCAUCAAAACACAACCCAAACCAAUCCUGGAUGCAUCACAGUACACGGUAAAACCACCAGACCCUGAAGGUACUGUCAAAAUUGGAGCCGUAAUUAACCUUUCCUUCAACUCCAGGAAACUCUUCUCACAUUCUUCUGACCAUUGAAACUUGACACUUUUCUGUGUCAACUUCGUCAAUGGAGCAGCGAUUCGGGAAAAAUUCUCCAUGAAUCUCCUGUAGUAUCUUGCUAAACCCAGGAAACUCCUAAUCUCAGAUACUGUAACUGGUCUAGGCCACUGCUUAACUGCCUCCACUUUCUGUGGAUCAACCUCUAUCCCAUUUUUGGACACCACAUGUCCCAAAAACCCAACACUCUCUAACCAAAACUCACUCUUCGAGAACUUUCCAUACAACUGAUGAUCUCUUAGAGUUUGAAGCACCAAUCUCAAAUGCUCUUCAUGUUCCUCUUUACUUCUCGAAUACACCAAGAUGUCAUCAAUGAACACAAUAACAAACUUAUCAAUAAACGGCCUAAAAACCAUGUUCAUCAUGUCCAUAAAAGCUGCAGGUGCAUUCGUUAACCCAAAAGACAACACUAGGAACUUGUAAUGCCCAUAACGAGUCCUAAAGGCAGUUUUAGGAAUAUCCUCAUUUCUAAUCCUCAACUGGUGAUACCCCGAUCGCAAAUCAAUCUUUGAGAAACAUUGAGCUCCUUGUAAUUGAUCAAAAAGAUCAUCAAUGCGAGGAAGUGGGUAUCUAUUCUUAACAGUGACCUUGUUCAACUGUCUAUAGUCUAUACACAUCCUCAUUGAUCCAUCCUUCUUCUUUACAAAUAAAACAGGUGCUCCCCACGGAGACACACUUGGACGAAUAAACCCCUUAUCUAACAAAUCUUGAAUCUGCUCCUUCAACUCUUUUAAUUCUGCUGGCGCCAUCCUGUACGGUGCCAUAGAGAUUGGUUUUGUUCCUGAAACUAGAUCAAUACAGAAUUCGAUUUCCCUAUUGGGAGGUAGUCCAGGUAAGUCAUCGGGAAAAACAUCGAUGAAUUCCUUAACUAUCGAAACUUGUUCCAUCCUCGGGACCUCCAUGUUCAUAUCAUGCACAUAAGCCAAAAACCCUUGCAUACCUUUUCGUACCAUCCUUCUCGUGAUGGCCGAGAGAAUACUAGAUGGAGAUGAUAACCCAUCUCCAUGAAAAGCAAACUCCGUCUUCUCAUCAGGCUUGAAAAUCACUGUCUUAUUCCAACAAUCAACUGAGGCAUGGUGCCUUGAUAACCAAUCCAUACCUAGUAUCACAUCAAAACCUACUAUGUCUAAAAUUACCAAAUCGCCUAAUAGGUUUCUACCUUGCACUUGAAUCUCACAAUCAACAUAAACAUAUUCCCCAAACAUAACCUCAUCCGAAGGGAUAGCUACACACAAAGGACUCUCUAACAAAAUGGAUUGUUUAGUAAACCUUAAAGCAAAAUAUGACGACACGAAAGAAUGAGUUGCCCCCGUGUCAAAUAACACUCUAGCCUCGAAGGAACAUAACAUAACUAUAAAGGAGUUUUAAGGAGGACACACCAAACCCUAGAUUGGAGAAUUGUAAGAGGAACGACAUCAAGACAAGAUAGAUCCUAAGCUCCACAUAUUACGAGGGUUUUGAAAAAUAAAAAAAAUGACUAAAAUAGAUUACGAGGUUUUAAUAAAAACCGGGCUCUGAUACCACCUUUGUCACGACCCGAAUCCCGGGUCCAUGACCGGCAACGCAGGAGCGGUGGCGGAAGGACACCCCUCCCGCGCUAAGCCUCAUAACGGACAUAUCAAAAGAAUAAUUUAUUCAAAAAUACGCAGCAUUUCAUAAUCUUCAGAAAUAUUAUAUCCUUCAAAACUGAUGAAACCAGAAGAUAGUUUAAAACUCCUCAUCAGUAAUUAAAACAAAAACAAUAAUCCAUAAUACUCAUUACAUUGUCAAAAAUCCAAACUUAAUCAAAACAAAGUAAUAGUGGAGCGCCUAAGACAUCGAAUCAAACAGCCUUGAAAGAUAAGCAAGGCAUACCGACUCAAAACUGAAGAAGCAGGAACACUCAACAAGGUUCACCUGCUAUCAGAAACUAAGAACCUGAAAUAAUAUUAAGAAUGAGGGGUGAGUUCAACCAACUCAGUGAGGGAAUAAUAAUUAAUAUACAUUUUAGAUAUUCUUGAUAUUUAUAGUUCGCAAGAUCAUUUAUCUUGAUAUACAUAUACAUAUACAUACUAAACUUAUCAUAUACAUAUCAUAUACAUACUAAACGUAUCAUCAUAACGUAGUGGACUAUAUGUCAGAGAUCAGAUGACACCCGAAGGUGACCAGACCAGAUGACACCCGAAGGUGACCACUGUGGGAUGAUCAGUCGCCACAGGCUGAUGCCUCUCUCACCAGCUAGGUAUACAUACAGAAUACUAUGUGCACAUAGGCUAACUACUCUCCGUUAGCAUGGAGUUACUGACAAGUCCCAUAUCAAGGCAUAAUAGAUAUUCACAUAAUCAUCAAAGAAACGUAUAUCAUAUCAAAUAGAAUUUACUUUGACAGAUUGCGAGUGCAAAUUCAAGAAUAAAUGAGUACUCGGAAAAUAAGCAACAUAUAUAAUUAUUCAAGAAAUUAACGAGUUGUACUCAUUGUAUAAUCAACAUACAUAUUUACUUAUCAUAUAUGCAUAUUAAAGAUUAUUCCACUCACCCGGAAAAUAUAGAACUAAAGGAAUGUCAGACGAAAGACCCGAAAAUCCUAUUGAGGAUUGUUAGGAGAACCUACAACAAUAUGAAAAUAUACUCAAAAGCAACUCAACAAGAGAUCCCAAUGCAUAAAAUAAAACCAGGUUUAUUCUCCUAAGUUUAUGGACUAAAACGACAAUUUUCCAAAACAGGGACCAAAACGUAAUUUUACCAAAAUUGGACCAAUCUGGAAAAUACAUAACCAUACUGAAUUUUCACCCAUAAACCAUCCUUAAUUCUGUCUAGAACGAACCAGGGACCGAUCUGAAAUUUUCAUAAAAUUCAGGGACUAAAAUGUAAAUUCCCGAAAUUGAGGGACCAAACUGAAAAUAUUCAAAAUCAAUUAUCAAACUGCGAUUCAUCAUCCUUAACCUCAUAAUAACACUGUCCAGAAUCUCAAAUACAAUUAGGGGUCAAAUUAUAAUUUUCCCAAAGUUUAGGGACUAAACUGAAAUUUCACAAAUUGAGGGACCAAAUUGAAUUUUCGUUAUCUUCAACCUCAAACCCAGAAUUUUACAGAUUACCUACUGUCAUCUCCUGAUUUCUAACACAAUUUCAAAAAUCAUAACUCAAAAUCAUCAUCUUUACCCUCAAUCUCUCACAAUCAACUAAUUAACCAAUUACCCACAACAAUCAACCCAUAACCUUCCAAUUAAUUCAUCAAUCAAACUCAAAACACAAUAUUCAAAACCCUAACAUUUAUCAAAACAGAAAUUAAGGCUUAAAGAACACACAUUUAUACAUAAUCUUACCUUUAAACUUAUUUCCUCCAACUCCUUUCCUUUUUCCCUUAUUUUCCCCUCUUUUCUCUUCUUCUUCUUUCUCCCUUCUCUCUCACGGUUUGCUCUCUCAAAUAUUCAGAUAUCUUUUUUUUUUUUUUUCUCUUUAUACUUAUCAUCUCUUUAUACAAUUACUCCAAUACCCUUCAUUUAAUUAUACCAAUUUUUAGCCUUCAAGGGCUUUAUUGCCUUUUACCUACUCAUUAAAUUUCAAAACAUCACAACUUCAUUGACGA
Molecule: long non-coding RNA, 7678 nt
Filed under: Populus trichocarpa (black cottonwood)
Lineage: Eukaryota; Viridiplantae; Streptophyta; Magnoliopsida; Malpighiales; Salicaceae
Description: long non-coding RNA (PTRI_LNC003581)
Source: RNAcentral